GACCCCUGGCUGUGGGCAAAGAGACACCUUGUUGCUAUGCUCUUAUGUCAGUCAGGGAUAGUGCAGUUGACAGCAGUCCUUUGUUCAUCCUAGCUUGAUGCCUGGCUUGGUGGCCAAAGCUCUUUUAUACCUAGGAUACAUAA
Small nucleolar RNA from Apodemus sylvaticus (European woodmouse), 143 nucleotides. RefSeq annotates it as small nucleolar RNA SNORA48. The transcript has a single exon. NCBI's taxonomy places the organism in Eukaryota, Metazoa, Chordata, Mammalia, Rodentia, Muridae. The record is from RefSeq and is a predicted model, not a curated record.